Molecule: transfer RNA, 74 nt
Rfam family: tRNA
About the family: Transfer RNA (tRNA) molecules are approximately 80 nucleotides in length.
Source: Rfam
GAGUUCUUAGCUCAAUUAGGUAGAGCAUAUGACUUUUAAUCAUUCGGUUAGAGGUUCGAAUCCUCUAGAACUCU